This 253-nucleotide ribosomal RNA is filed under the name uncultured bacterium. RNAcentral's name for it is "partial 16S ribosomal RNA". It matches the Rfam family "Bacterial small subunit ribosomal RNA", at positions 524 to 776 of the family's 1533-position model. The record is from RNAcentral.
UACGUAGGGUGCAAGCGUUGUCCGGAAUUAUUGGGCGUAAAGAGCUUGUAGGCGGUUUGUCGCGUCUGCUGUGAAAUUUCGGGGCUCAACCCCGAACUUGCAGUGGGUACGGGCAGACUAGAGUGUGGUAGGGGAGACUGGAAUUCCUGGUGUAGCGGUGAAAUGCGCAGAUAUCAGGAGGAACACCGAUGGCGAAGGCAGGUCUCUGGGCCGCUACUGACGCUGAGAAGCGAAAGCAUGGGGAGCGAACAGG